Transfer RNA from Neotoma lepida (desert woodrat), 63 nucleotides. It matches the Rfam family "tRNA". Rfam says of the family: Transfer RNA (tRNA) molecules are approximately 80 nucleotides in length. Their secondary structure includes four short double-helical elements and three loops (D, anti-codon, and T loops). The record is from Rfam. NCBI's taxonomy places the organism in Eukaryota, Metazoa, Chordata, Mammalia, Rodentia, Cricetidae.
GGGGAUUUAGCUCAGUGGUAGAGCACUUGCCUAGCAAAUGCAAGACCCUGAGUUCAGUCCUCA